RNAcentral lists this unclassified non-coding RNA (147 nucleotides) under soil metagenome. Its description in RNAcentral is "partial internal transcribed spacer 1". The record is from RNAcentral.
UAAUAAGUGUUUUUAUGGCACUUUUUUAAAUCCAUAUCCACCUUGUGUGCAAUGUCGGUCGAUCUUCUUCAUGGAGAUCGACCAAACAUCAACCUUUAUCUUUUAACUCUUUGUCUGAAAAAUAUUAUGAAUAAACAAUUCAAAAUA